GCUCACCGCAACCUCCACCUCCUGGAUUCAAGCAAUUCUCCUGCCUCAGCCUCCCGAGUAGCUGGGACUACAGGUGCGCACCACCAUGCCCAGCUAAUUUUUGUAUUUUUAGUAGAGACAGGGUUUCACAUUGUUGACCAGGAUGGUCUCGAUCUCUUGACCUCAUGAUCCACCCGCCUCAGCCUCCCAAAGUGCUGGGAUUAUAGGCGUGAGCCACUGCGCCCGGCCUAAACUUUGCUUUCUAAGGUGAUUUUAAAUGGAACUUUAAGAACAUAUCAGGCAAUUUUGAUUUACUUGUCUAGCUGUGCUUUUUAUUUUAUUGGUCCUAGAGGAAACACACAUAGGCAUAACAUUUUGUUUCCCAGUUUAGGGAGUUCAUGGACUUCUUAGAGGUCCACAGGCCCAGCCCCAUAGGUCAUAGUGACACUUCCUAUGGGGCUUUAUAGUUGUCAUAUCCAUCCAUGCUUAUCAUGAAGACAAUUGAUAAAUGAGAUAGACGUUGAAAUAAAUUAGAGGAGAAUGAUGUUAAAAUUUCUUAGAUUUAUGCUGCUUGGCUUAGGGUUACUACAAUGAUAGUUUCUAAAUGUUAUAUCUUUUAAAAAAAUUUACCAAAAGGUACAUAUGCAGGAAAUGAACUGGAAAAAAAUCAGAAAAGCAUUUAUUUUUAACAGAAUGUUAUUGUCAGCAUUUUAAAAUUUAUUCAAUAUAUGCAGUUACAAAUUACAUAAAAAUGAGUUUUGGCUACCAACCAAACAUCAUAUUUUACUAUGGUAGGGAAUAAUCAGUUGGAAUUUUACUAAAAUUCAACCUGAACUAUUUUACUUGGAAGUUGAAGAAUUACAGCUAGCCUAGUGGUUUAUCCAAUGUAUAAGUUAUGAAAAACCCUUUACAGAACAUUUCAUUGAUUUGUUGCCAAUUUAGUUCAGACAACCAAAGCCCAAUGUAUAAAGAUAAAAUGAACUAUUAUUUUGCAAUAUUUGUGACUUAACAUUUAUUACCUACAUUAUUCUUCAUUAACUUUAUUCUCUUGUGUAAAACUACUUUUUAAAAUACAUUAUGAUGACGCUUUUGAAGUUUUUCAAAGUGGUCUAACUUUAAGAAGAUUGUGUAUUUAGAAUUCCCAUACUUUAAAAAUAUUUAUUGAGAAUGAGGGGUGGGAAGAAGGAGAGGAUCAGGAAGAGUAGCUAGUGGAUGCUGGGCUUGAUACCUGGGUGAUGGGAUGAUCUAUGCAGCAAACCACCAUGGCACAUGUUUACCUAUGUAACAAACCUGCAUGUCCUGCACAUGUAUCACUGAACUUAAGAUAAAAUUUGGAAAUUAAAAAAAAGAGAUUGAACUUUUUUUAAAGAAAAGAUCACUUUGAUAAGGAGAAAAUCAAUAGAUUGACAGAACUUUACAGGUGAAGCUACCAGAACCAUCACUCAGGCAAACUAUCUUAGAUUGAGAUCCAGAGAUGGCCUGUGGCCAUCUCUGAACCCUUCCUGCAUUCUUUUCUCUAUACCAGGGUGCGUGGCAUGCUUUUAAGUCACCACCAGUACAACCUCUGUGGAGAGCUUCAGCUAUAUUCUCCAGCAGCUUAAUUUUUCUCCCAAGGUUAAACCAUACACAGAAAGUUUGUUCUCCGAUAGGAAUAGGUACACUGAAUAAACUACUUCAGUAUUGCUGAUCAGGGCUUCUGACCUUGAAACUGAGCUGCAAAACAAAUGAUCAGCUGAUUGGAUAAUUAGUGAGGUGUAAAGCUAGGAAUUCCUUGCAAACACACAGUCUAUGUAAGUGUUAAAAAAGAAGAAAUUUAGUUUCCGUGUUGUAAUGACUCACUAGUUUUCUAGUGAAGGUCAUUUGAAAGGAGGGUGAGUGGUGAAAACUUUAGCUGAACACAGAAUAAUUAAUUAGAAGUUAUUAAAACCUGGCUUCACUUUGGGCUUAUUGUGCAUAAGCAAGUUUAUAUAUGCACUUGAAGAAACUUGAUACAAAAAGAGUGAAUGAAAAAAUGCAAAGACAAGGACAUAAAAUAGGUAGGAGAGCAAGAUAGCUGCACUUAAUGUUCUUGGCAUUAUAUAACCUUGCCCAUGAGGAAGUUGGCAUGUGGUGAAAGGGAUCUGGAAAAAAAGGAAGCCAAAAGGGUCCUUGACUGAGGGCAUUUGGCCUGCAGUUUAUUCAUUUAAUCAGAGAAAUGGACAGAAAACCAGGCCCUCUUACUCGUACAUCAUGGGGCUGUUGAAGAUACCUCAUGAGAGAGAAGUACUUAGAGGGGCUCUGCAGUGGGCUAUGUUUUGGGAUACUGAAGUAGAGGUGUUUUCAAUUGUUAUAAAACUUGGUGUGUAGAUUACAAGGUCAAAAUGAAUAUGUGAUCUAUUGGCAUGGAGGUAGCCUGAGUAUUGCAAAGAGCACAUAUUUUGGAAACAAAGGGACCUGAGCUCAAAUCUUGACUCUUCAGCUUGCCAUCCAUGUGAUCCCAAGGCAAGUGAUAGCCACUGAAUUGUAACUCCUCUUAUAAAAUAAAGUAAUGCUAACUGUUGAAGUGUGUUUCCUGUGAAGUUAAGGAGGCUUAGUGAAUGCAGCCCUCGAAGGGCCUGAGCCAUGUAUUCACACGGCUAUCUGUUUUUAUUAAGCCUGUGGUCUCCAUUCUGAUUUCUCCUCUAUCCCUUUUCCCUUAUGUGGGGUGGAACUGAAGUGGCCAUGGGUAUUUUUGGGUUUAUAAUUAUAUGUUUACUUCCUUUGUAUGUAAAUUUGUAUUAUUUUCCUACUUUUAUAUUAUGUGUACUAUUUUGCCUAAUGAAAGCUUCCCAAAUUGUAUAAAUUUCAUGCCUCACAACCCCUGGGUUUGCCAUGUUUAUCUCAUAACUUUAUUAUUACAAUUGAGUAAAAUAACCAUGUAAAGCACAUUAUCAGUUAUUUAUUGCCAAAUAACAGCCCAUCCCCAAACUUAGUAGCUUAGAACAGUAACUAUUUUAUUUGUUCACAAUUCUGUGGAUCAGCACUUCAGCCUGGGCUCUGCUUGGUGGUUCUUCUGCUUGUCUGGCCUGGGCUCACUCUUGUGGUAGCAGUCAGUUGGCAAAGAGACUGGAUGGUCUAGGAUGGCAUCAGUCAACUGUCUGGCAGUUGUCAGGCUAUCAGCUGGUUACCUUGUUUCUCCUCCAUGGGGGCUCUAUAGUGGACUAGCUCAGAAGUGUUCACAUAGCCUUUAAAGAGGGAGAGGGAGAAAGCUGCAAGACCUUUUGAAGUCUAUGCUUAGAAUUCCCACAGUGCCACUUGUGCUGGAUUCUAUUUAUCAAAGCAAGGCAUAAGAUUAGCCCAGAUUUAAGGAGUCAAAAGUAGAUUCCAUUGCCUGAUAGAAUGAGCUGCAAAGAAAUGUGGCUGUUUAUAAUCUACCACAAGCUCUGUGCCUGAAAUAGGAGAUCCUGAAAUAUGUUAGCUUUCUUGUCUCCCUCUUCCUACCUUGCUUCUUAUUUCUGCUGAGGUUAAAUAAACAAGAAUUGAAGAGAAGCUUCCAUGAAGAAGAGAAGAACUAGACAUAAAUAAGGCUCCCUUAGAUGUGUCUGAUACUCAAUUUUAUAAAUUAUUAAUCUGUUGUUUAAAUUAGAUUGAAUUUUAAACCUGCUUAUACCUUUUAAAAACAAAAUGCUUAAAAUUUUUAUGGUAUUUUCUUUUAAAAAGUUUAUAGAUGAGACAUUAAAAUGUCUGGCCUUUUUUCAGUUUAUAUCUGUGAAAUUGUGAAAUGUAUACAGUGAUGCACCACAUAACAACAUUAGGGUCAACUAUGGACCAUACAUACAACAGUGUUCCCAUAAGAGUAUAAUGGAGCUGAAAAAUUUCUAUGGUCUGGUGAGUUGUAGUGGUCAUAAAGUUGUAAUGAUAUAUAUUACCUUUCCUACAUUUAGAUACACACUUACUAUUGUGUUACAAUUGCUAUGGUACUCAGUACAGUAACAUGCAGUACAGGUUUAUAGCCUAGGAGCAGUAGGCCUAGGUGUAUAGUAGGCUAUACCAUCAAUUUUGGAUAAACACAUUCUAUGCUGUAAGCACAAUGACAAAAUUGCCUCACAAUGAACUUUGCAGAACAGAUCUCUUUUUAAUUUUUUUUUAAGUUCAGGGGUGUAUGUGCAUGUUUGUUACGUAGGUAAACUUCGGUCGUGGGGUGGGGUUUGUUUUACAGAUUAUUUUGUUACCCAGGUGUUAAGCCUAGUACCCAUUAAUUAUUUUCCUGAUACUUUCCCUCCUCCCACUCUCCUCCACCCUCAGGUAGGCCCCAGUAUCUGUUGUUUCCUCUGUGUGUCCAUGUGUUCUCAUCAUUUAGCUCCCACUCACAAGUAAGAAUAUGUGGUAUUUGGUUUUCUAUUCCUGUGUUAGUUUGCUAAGGAUAAUGUCUUCUAGCUCCAUUAAUGUCCCUGCCAAGGACAUGAUAUCAUUCUGUUUUUUUAUGGCUGCAUAGUAUUUCUUGGUGGAUAUGUACCACAUUUUCUUUAUCCAGUCUAUAACUGAUUAUCAUUUUGGUUAAUUCCAUGUCUUUGCUAUUGUGAAUAGUCCUGCAAUGAACAUAUGUGUGCAUGUGUCUUUACGGAAGAAUAAUUUAUAUUUCUUUGGGUGUAUACCUAGUAAUGGGAUUGGUGGGUCAAAUGGUAGUUCUGCUUUUAGUUCUUUGUGGAAUUGCCACACUGUUUUCCACAAUGGUUGAACUAAUUUAUACUCCCUCCAGCAGUAUAUAAGCAUUCCCUUUUCUCUGCAACCUCAUCAGGAUCGGUCAUUUUUUGACUUUUUAGUAAUAGCCAUUCUGACUGGUGUGAGAUGGUAUCUCAUUCUGGUUUUUAUUUGCAUUUCUCUAAUGAUUAGUGAUGUUGAGCUUUUUUUCAUAUGCUUGUUGGUGGCAUGUAUGCCUCUUUUGAAAAGUGUCUGUCCUUUGCUCAGGUUUUAAUGGGAUUGUUUUUCUUGUAAAUUUGUUAAGUUUCUUAUAGAUGCUGAAUAUUAGACCUUUGUUAGAUGCAUAGUUUGCAAAAUUUUUCUCCCAUUCUGUAGGUUGUCUGCUUACUCUGUUGAUAGUUUCUUUUGCUGUGCAAAAGCUCUUUAGUUUAAUUGUAUCUCAUUUAUCAAUUUUUGCUUUUGUUGCAAUUGCUUUUGGUGUCUUCAUCAUGAAAUCUUUGUCCAUUCCUAUGUCCAGAAUGGUAUUGCCGAGAUUGGGAUCUCUGUCUUAAGUGACACAUGACUGUAUUUGGUCUUCACCCAGUUUCCUGGCAUAAAACUCCUGAAAUCCUUAAAAUCUCCUAAGUGAGAAGUAUCUUUUGUUUGCUAAUGAGAUGACUGCUGAUUGGCAGCCCCUAUGUAGCUUCGGAUGGAGGCUAAUCACAAGAAAGACAUGCAUAUGUGGUUGGAAUUUUUUUUUUUUUUUUUGAGGCGGAGUUUCGCUCUUGUUACCCAGGUUGGAGUGCAAUGGCGUGAUCUCGGCUCACCUCAACCUCCGCCUCCUGGGUUCAGGCAAUUCUCCUGCCUCAGCCUCCUGAGUAGCUGGGAUUACAGGCACGCGCCACCAUGCCCAGCUAAUAUUUUUGUAUUGUUAGUAGAGACGGGGUUUCACCAUUUCGACCAGAAUGGUCUCGAUCUGUUGACCUCGUGAUCCACCAGCCUUGGCCUCCCAAAGUGCUGGGAUUACAGGCUUGAGCCACCGUGCCCGGCCCUGGUUGGAACUUUUAAAGCCCUAUUUCCUAACCUCUGAGAAGGAGAGAGGGGAUAAAGUUUAAGUUGAUCACCAAUAGCCAAUAUUUUAAUCAAUCAUGCCUACAUAAUGAAGCCUCCAUAAAAGCUUUGGAUAAGCUUUCAGAUAGCUGAACACAUGAAGGUUUCCGGAAAGUGGAGCACCUAGAGAGGGCAUGAAAGCUCUGUGUCAGUUCCCCCACACAUUACCCUGUCCAUCUCUUAUCUGUUGUUCAUUAGUAUCCUUUGUAAUAGCCUUUUAAAUACUCUAGAAAAUGUAAGUAAGUGUUUCCCUGAGUUCUGUGAGCCACUAUAGCAAAUUAGUCAAACUUGAUGAGGGGAGUGUGGAAACCCUGAAUAUAGCCGAUUGGUCAAAAGCACAGGUAAAACAACCUGGGGCUUGCCAUUGGCGUCAGAAUGGUGGUGGAUGGAGGAUAGGGAGGGGAUGUUUUGGGGACUGUGACCUCAACCUGUGGGAUCUGAACUACCUCCAGGUAGAGAGUGUCAUGAUUGACUUGAAUUAGAGGACACCCAGCUGAAGUCUACUGCAGAACUGAUUGCUUACUUGAUGUAUGGGGGGAACUCCUACCCCUACAUUUGGUCACAGAAUCUUUUGUGUUGACUGUUGAGUGAGAGUACAGGAGAAACUGACUUUGUUUUUUUCCUAUAUCCUCAAUAUCAAAUAAGGAAUUUGCUGAAGAAAGCUUGGUUUUGGAAUGAAAAUGAAUAAUUUAAAAUACAGAAAAAGGAAUGUAUUUAGCAGUUUGACAAAGGCUCAUGGCACUCUUCUCUUUCAGUUUAAUGGAAUUAUAUAUAUGUAAUUAAGAAAACCAAUAAAGCAAACUUCUAGCAUUUUCCCUUUUAAGUGAUAAUUAAUUGUCUGCUUGUUGAGUAAUUAAAUUAAUCCAAUGCUACAGAUAGAUGAGGUACAUGCAUGUUUAAUAAUUUAGAUAGCAUCUGCAACUUUUAAAAGCCUGUUAAAUGAUUGUGAGAAUCAAUCAGGUCCUCCUGGUGACAUCAUGAUCAUAAUAAUCAGCAUCGCAACUAAAAACAAUCAUUUGGAGAAUUAGUUUGAAACACUGUUCUUUAUAUAACUGACAAUAAUAAAUAUUUUCUAAUGAAUGCUAACUUGAUUUGAUGAUUAUUGGAGAACUAAGAAUAAUGAGUGAAAAGAAAUACAGAAGUAAAAAGAAAAGGAAUUACAAGCUACUACUUGUCUUUAGUUUAUUUCUAGUAAAAUCAGAUCUAUUAAGCAAGACAUUUAGUUGGAAAGGACAGAAAAUGUAAAAUGGGAAAUUAUUGGUCAUAUAAAGGGAGGAUUAAGAGGAAUACAUUCCAGUAGGGGCCUGAGGAGGUAAUGAAGACCCAGUUUUUCUUUCUCCAUGUUUUUAGUCUUUUUCUUUUGUGUUGGUGCCAGUCUCAGGGUUGAUGUGGGAACAGUUUAGUUGUAAUAGUUUAAACCCUGUAUUCUUUUGGUUUAAGUACAGUAGAAAAGAAUGGCUCCUCAGGAAAAUGCCUGAGAUUAGCUCUGUUUAGGACUGCUUGAUCUGGUGUGAGUCAUGUGUCUGUCCAUCCCCAGAUGAACUAGGAGGAUGGAAUACAUUGAUUGUCUCAGGCCUCUCUCCUGUUCAUUUGUUCUUCUGGAACAAAGUCAGGGACCCUCAUCCUAACCCUAUAGACUGAGACUGGGGAAGAGUAGAUUCUAGACAACAACAGGAGGCUUUAGAAGUAGAGUAAAGCCAAAAUGGCAAGCCAAACACAACUAGGGCCUAUUAUAAAUGUAACAUGUACAUUCCUGUAAUAUAGUAGAUGCUGAAUAAUAUGUCUUGAAUUAGAGAUGAUAGUUAGAAAAGGAUAUUUUAGGUACUUUUUCUAUGGAGGCUUUUGAGCUUUUGUGUAUUUUGCUCUCAGAACUCUAGUGGGUAAAUAUAGAUAAGAGUUUGUACUCUUUGAUCAUUUCUCAAAGUGUUUUUUUUAAAUGUUUAUGUUCCCUUCACACAGUUAGUUAGCAAUAAUAAUGUUCUGAUUUUACAGACAGAAGACACUGAAUAUGAUGAAAAGACUUGAUGUUGUUUAUAAAAUUCAGUGUUGAACAAACUUAAAAUGUUUUCUCCAUUAAAAAUUUUUAAGUUGUGUUUAAAAGUACUCAAAACAGAUAGUUAUGUUUGCAUCCAUCAGUUAUAUAAAAUAGUCUUGUGACUAUUAGUCUGAUAACAGAUAGAUAAAUGUGAUCAAUUAUUGCAUGUUUCUGGUAGCUGGUCAUAUCAUAACCAUUUCUAGAAUUCUUGGACACAUUUAAUGUAUUCCUUUAAAAAAAGAAGACAUUGAUGAGGCCAACAAACACAUGAAAAAAUCCUCAUUAUCACUGGUCAUUAGAGAAAUGCAAAUCAAAACCUAACAUUAAGAUACUAUCUCACACCAGUUAGAAUGGCAAUCAUUAAAAAAUCUGGAGACAACAGAUGCUGGAGAGGAUGUGGAGAAAUAGGAACACUUUUACACUGUUAGUGGGAGUGUAAAUUAGUUCAACCAUUGUGGAAGACAGUGUGGCAAUUUCUCAAGGAUCUAGAAAUAGAAAUAUUAUGCAGCAAUCAAAAACGAUGAGUUCGUGUCCUUUAUAGGGACAUGGAUGAACCUGGAGAACAUCAUUCUCAGCAAACUGACACAAGAACAGAAAAUGAAACACCGCAUGUUCUCACUAAUAGGCGGGUGUUGAACAAUGAGAACACAUGGACACAGAGAGGGGAGCACUACACGCUGGGGUCUGUUGGUGGGAAUAGGGGAGGGACAGCGGGGGGUGGGGAGUUGGGGAGAGAUAGCAUAGGGAGAAAUGCCAGAUACAGGUGAAGGGGAGGAAGGCAGCAAAUCACACUGCCACAUGUGUACCUAAGCAACUGUCUUGCAUGUUCUUCACAUGUACCCCAAAACCUAAAAUGCAAUUAAAAAAAAAGAAAUUUCAUUUGACCCAGCAAUCUCAUUACUGGGUAUAUAUCCAAAGAAUUAUAAAUUGUUCUAUAAUAAAGACACAUGCACACAUGUGUUCAUUGCGACAAUGUUUACAAUAGCAAAGAGCUGGAAGCAACCCAAAUGUCUAUCAUUGAUAGACUGGAUAAAGAAAAUGUGGCACAUAUACGCCAUGGAAUACUACACAGCUAUAAAAAACAAUGAGUUAGUGUCCUUCAUAGGGACAUGGAUGUAUCUAGAAACCAUCAUUCUCAGCCAACUGACACAAGAACAGAAAACCAAACACCGUAUGUUAUCACUCAUAGGGCAGUGUUGAACAAUUAGAACACAUGGAUACAGGGAGGGGAGCAUCACACACUGCAGUCAGUAGGGGGAGUCUAGGGGAGGGACAGCAGGGGUGGGGAGGGUGGGGAGUAAUAAUGAGGGGAGAAAUACCAGAUAUAGGUGAUAGAGGGAUAAAGGCAGCAAAUCACCUUGCCAUGUAUGUACAUAUACAACAAUCCUGUAUGAUCUGCACAUGUACCCCAGAACCUAAAGUACAAUAAAAAAAAAAUCAGGAUGGAUAUUCUGAUUUGUUCUGUCUGUUGGUAAAAUUCAAGUCAAAACUGAAUUAGCUCCUGCCAACUUGGCCUAUUUAAGUAGUAUAGGGGUUUUAUAUAAUAAAAUAUCAUAAAAUUUCCUUUUAUUAUCAUAGAUUACUAUAUAAACAGGUGAUCAUCUAAUCAAUGGUCCAAACCAGGACAUUGUUGAGAGUGACAGGGGAAAAUUGGAUUGAGAUACCAGGCAGAAUCUAGACAAAUCAGGACUUGAAGUCACCCCAUGUAUAAACAAUACAAAUUUUAUUGCCUGUGCACUUAAUGUUAAAUUCUCUGUAUGAGGAACAAUGUCAGAGGACUUUUUUAAACUGCAAAGCACUUUGAUAAGAUAGCUCUUGGUCAUGUGACUUUUUUGGUAUGGCCUAUUUUUCCUUUAAGAAAUAAUAUCAUCUUAAAUACUCAUAGAUGUGAUGGCAUUUGGAGAGUCCCACUGCUUCUUUCUGCAUUUUUCUAGCAGAGUAUUUAGUAGGAAGAAUAAUUAAUUUUUUGAGUGACAGAUUUAGCUCUCCAACCAUGUCCCUUGUCACCUCUUAGACUAAAAUAGAUCAUGCCAAGUAAACUAUGAGAAUAAUGCCUGAUAAAGAUACCUUGAUGGUAUAAUUAACAAUACCUCAAUAAGUCAGUGGAGGUUAGAAGAACAACGAGAGGUCUUCUACUGUCCCCUGCCUCUUUGGCUCUGCCAAUUUCAGUAUAUCACAUGGAAGUUAUUUUUCUGUUAUUCUCGCCCCUGUGGGUGGCAUUUAAUAUUUGAGUAUCAUGGUAACAGAGGGCCAGAGAAUGAAGGCAACAAAUCUCAUAUCAACUCUUUCAUUUUGUUUUUUUGUUUCUCUAUGUAUCUGUUUAUUUUUUAAGGAAUGGACUCUCUUUGUUAAGUAUAACUUCUGUUCUAUAAUAGUAAUUUAAUAAUUGAAUUCAUAUUUCAAUAGUAUCUUUUUUUUAACACAGGGUCUCACUUUGUCACCUGGGCUGGCGUGAGUGACACAAUCAUAGCUCACUGUAGUCUCAACUUCUUGGGCUUAAGCAAACUUCCCACCUCAGCUUCCCGAGUAGCUGGGAUUACAGGAGUGUGCCACUAUGCCUGGCUAAUUGUUUUGUAGAGAUGGGGUUUUGCCAUGUUGCCUAGGCUGGUCUUGAACUCUUGGGGUCAAGCAUUCUGCCCUCCUCAGCCUCCGAAAGUACUGGGAUUACAGGCAUGAGCCACUGUGCCUGGCUAAUUUUACUCUUUUAAAAAAUCUUAUUUCAACUGAACACAUUUUUAUAAACCAUAAAAACAUAUUAAAACCCAGCAGUUUCAGAAACAGUUAAGAAUUUCCUUGUGAAAGCACUGUUCUCUCAGUCUUUAUCUUCCAAGUGACUUGAAUGCUCUUAAUACUAAUUGCACCUUGGUGUAAGCUACUUGAUAUCAAACCUUUUUAUUUAAAGUUAGUUGCUUUUGAGCCCGCUGCAUAGAGACCCUCUAAUUCUGUGUAGUGACCUGUACCCUAGUGCACAAUUAGUGUGUGAAUCAAGGUAAUUAGCAACAAAUCAUCUUUUUAUAAUUGAAGAAUCUAAGGUAGUGCAAGAUAAGGGACCUACUGAGAGACAGAGUUCAGAAUAAAGGAGAAGGUUUCAGUCAUUUAAUGAAGUGCUCUGCUGGGAGGAUUCCCCUAGUCUGGGGACCUUUAGUGAAAUAUGGGGAAACCAUCAGGCGAGGCAGGUCAGAUAGUUUAUAAUGGCGAGUUAUAGGCUGUAUGUUAUAAGGAGCAUUUCUUAGCACUGGAGAAAUUUCACUAGAUUCCAGUUCACCUUUCCAAACUACUAAAAGCAAAACAGGACUGUUUUUAAAAAUUGGAAAGUAAACCUGACUUCUUGUGGAAAAUUUGGAAAAUAUUGAGAAAUUUUAGAUCUAGUCCCUUUAACUUUAAGGAGCUCACAGGCAAAGGGGCAGGGGAAAUCAGCACAGAAAACAACUGAUAUGGCCAUUAAGAGCAUGAAAGCUUAGGGUUAGUAAGUUCUUGAAUUCACCUUUUUACAAAUCUGUAAAAACAAAUAUGACUUUAAAAAAGCACAAAUAUAAAUUGGGAAUGCCAAUUAGCUCAUUAAAUUAGAUGAAACAUAUCAGUGGAAUCAAAUUUCAUGGUUCAAAUGAUAUAUUUUAAUAUUUUAAACAUUAUAUUUUAAGCUGGGUAUAGUGACUCACACCUGUAAUCCCAGCACUUAAUGGAAGGCCAAGGUGGGCAGAUCACUUGAGCUCAGGAGUUGAAGACUAGUCUGGACAACACGGCGAAACCCUGUAUGUAUAAAAAAUACAAAAAUUAGCUGGGUGUGGUGGUGCAUAACUGUACUCCCAGCUACUCAGGAGGCUGAGGUGGGGGCAUAGCUGGAGCCGAGAAGGUUAAAGGCGGCAGUGAGCCAUGAUUGCAUCACUGCACUCCAGCCUGAAUAACAGAGUGAGACCCUCUCUCAGAAAAAAUUAUAGUUUAAGAAAUGAGCAAAAAUGAAUAGCUAGGCAGAAAUUGAUGAUAGCUUUUCUUAGAUUAAACACCAAAAAUAUCUUGAACAUUUGCGUUGGCUGAAAAUGUUCUUCGUAAACAAUGAGAAAAAAGCUACAGUUUUAUUUUUAAAAAGAAUUAGUUAUUUUCCUAGUACUUUCACAUUGAAUUAAUUUGUCACUUAUUCUAGUGGAUAAACAAGAAUAGAGCUAAUUACCUGAAUGUUUAUGUGACAGAUGCUAUCAGAGCCAACCCUUAACCCCAGGACCUUUCACAUUGCUCUUAUGAACUUUCUACUGUCAGCGCUUGCGUCUCUGUGUCUGAGGGCUGCCCCUCAAAUGCUGAUUUGCCCGUGGACAGCAGUUCAUUCUAGGGAAUUAAUAUGCCCGCUUAUCCAGCAGGCUUCAUCUAAUAACUCUCUAAAGGUGACAUAUAAAAUACCCCAGCUCCCUCACCCUCAGAUGCGAUAAUUCUGAAGCUAUGUUUUGCACUAGUUCUCAAAGCUUCCCCAGAGAAUUCAGCUCCAAGCACCCACUCUGGUAGCUGACUUCUUAGAUGCUUUUCUUUCUUUGUCUCCCUUCCCCACUUCCCUACCACUGUUCCCUACUUGGGGUGCUUCUGGAGAAUCCAUACUAAAUCUUAAAAUUAAGCAUUAUUGUUAUUACACUUCUAUGCACUACCUGGAUUAACCCCAUGCUGAUCAUGGUUUAGGAAUUCUCAAGUGUUUUACAUAAAAGGCAUCGUUCAUAAAGCUAAAGAAGGACCAGUAUGAUCAAUAGUGCACACUAAUGGAUUGAAAGAGUUAUCUAGCAUGACCUGAGAUGCAUUAGCAAACACAGAAAAUCUGACCUUGGGAGAAAGCCCCUGAUCUGAGCCUGGAGAGUAAGACUGAAGUCAGAAUGAUGAGCCUUCCUUGUGCUAUGUCAUAUUGCUUUGGAUUUGCUGUGAAGCUGGAGGUUCAGGGAGGGGCAUUACUGCAAUGCCCCCUUUUACUUUUGCAUGUCUUUCCUGGCCUGACUGAUGCUGGCAGUGAUCUCAUUUUAUUCUUUCUCCCUAAAUCUUCUGUAGCACUACACACAUAGAUAGUGAAUAAUUCUUGAUUAAUGGGCCACUGUGCUGUGCUGUCAGGUGCUAUAUUAAAUUGUGUUAUAUCAGUUACUUCUGAAAUCUGUAGGUAUUUUUUUAUUUUGUACCAUAAGCCUCCUGGUCUUUGUUGCUAUUACAUUAUGAAACCCUGUCAAAUAUUUCAUUUUGUCUUCAAAAAGUCCUUGGCAAAAUUAGCGUCUUAUGAUUUGUUUUUGAAAAUUAGUGAUAAAAUAUCAAUGAAAUAGAUACAAUUUCUUAUCUUUUGUUUCAAGUCUCAUUUAGUUCUGUGCAUUAUCUUGUGAAUGGGAACUUUCGUAUGCUAAGGAAAUCUUUCAGCCUUAAUGGAUGGCCAUCAAGUCAGUUGCUGCUGACACAUCCCUGCUAUACCUCCCUUCUCUGGCUGUGGUUUGUUUCUCCAGGGUGGUAGUUAGAUGAAUACUGCCAUCAUCUUCCCUACUCUGCUCAAGGAUUCCUAGCAUGGCUCACUGUUCCCAACCAGGUGUCCUUAUCAGCAAUUCCUUAGAGAUGUCACUCUGACUCUUGUGUGAUCUCACAGAAUUACUCAUUAAAAAAUCGAGUAUGCUGCUGUGUGCUGUAAAUUGUCUUUCUCAACUUGAAGUCAUAUCACUUUAACCACGCUUCAUCAUUGCUGUGACAACUGUAUGAGUAUACUGUAUAUUUUAAACAUGACAGUGAUGGAUCCUAUAGGUAAAAUACCAAAUGACUGAAAACAAGUGGCAAGGCAAGUAUUUUUAUAAUCAAAAUAUAAUGCAAUUCAUUAGAAAUAGGUAUUAUCUUAGCUAUUAUAACUUCUGGAAGUUUUGUGAACCUUUGUGUUCAGUCAAAACUGCAAACUCAGCAUAUGCUUGCUUAUGAAUAUUGCUUCUAGCUAAACAAGUGUUCAUAUAUUCUUUUCCAUUUAAAUACAUGACUAGGUAUUUACUAAAAAGUGAGCUACUUACUAAUGGUAGAUUACUGCGAUGUCUUUCAUAUCAGCUGUUGCUUAUCUGACAAUCUCAUAUUAGGUGAAACCUAGGCAAGAAAUAGGUAGGAAGCUGAAUUGGCUUGUGAGAUAACCUAAGCGAUAUCCCAGUGUCUGUGCAGUACCUAUUCCUGUGUACUUUAUUCACUGGCAAACCCUUCUACAACCCCAUGCAAAAUGUUUUUUCUUUUUAAAUUUUACACAUUAUUAUUAUUUUUUAAAUACAGGGUUUUGCUUUCUCACCCAGGCUGGAGUACAGUGGCAUGAUCAUAGCUGACUGCAGCCUCAUCUCCUGGGCUCAAGUGAUUUUCCCACCUUAGCCUCCCAAGUAGCUGGGACUAGAGGUGUGGGCUACCAUGCCUGGCUGAUUAAUUUUUUUUUUUAGUAGAGAUAAGGUCUUGCUACAUUGUCCAGGCUGGUCUUAAACUCCUAGACUCAAGUGAUCCACCUACCUCAGCCUCCCAAAGAGCUGGGAUUACAGGUGUGAGCCACCAUGCCUGGCCUUUACACAUGAUUUCAACAGGUUUGGUUCAGUUAUAUGAUUUCCCGUUAGUAGCAAGCAAGAAUGGUGAAAAGAAUAGAUUACCAGAGAAAAAUACUAAGAAAAUAUACUAUAUUAAUACUUAAAUGAUUAAGGUUAGUGAAAGAGUUUUAGUCAUAUUUUAACUUAAAAACUGAUAAUUGUGUUAGAAGGCUUCAGACAGUUUAUUGAGUGCCUGUUAUGCACUGGGCAAUGUAUGCAAUGUUUACCAGCAUCCUCUCUAGCUCUUACAUCUCGUCUGUGAGAUAGACAUUAUUAUUUCCAUUCUAAAAAUUAGAGAACAACUGGGGCUCUGAUGAGUGAAAUGAUUUGCACAAGGCCAAGUAGUAAGUAACUGAUUUAGAAUUAAAACCAGGACCGUCAGAUUUAAAGGCCCUGUUGUUUCUGUCAUAUUGAAUUGCUUCCACAUGGGCCAUUCCACAAUGUACUUAGUGAAAUUAUUAUCUUAAGAGCAAUACAUUUCAUAGAGAAACUUAAUAAUAACCUCCUCUGACUCCCCUGAUUUUACAUAUCUUUUUUUGCCUAAGUGAGGAUAUAAACCAAAAUCAUGAUUAUUUUGAUUUAUAUUUACAUAAUAACUUUCACUUUGUAUAGAUUCAGUUUGUCACUCUAAUAAUACUAUUUCUGGCCUCAGGCCUGUUGAUAUUCGACUGGUACCCUCAACAUACUUGUUCUUUAAAUGGUUGUGGUGUGGAUCAUUUGAAGGAAGGAACAGCCAGAAAAGUAUCAAGAUAAUUGUGACAACUGCCACUGGUGGUAUAGUAAUUAAAGAGAACAGAUAGUUAUGUAAAAGUAAUUUCUUUGCUGAGCCAUCACUGGUGCAGAGAGCAAAAUAAUAGGGACAGAUGUGACUGAAAGAAGUUUUGAUGUUAUCCUGGUGUUUGGUUUUAAUCUCUCCCCACCUCUUGAUACCAUCGAUUUUUAUCUGUCAUGUAAAAACAGCAGCAACAGCUCAUGGUAAAUUUCAUGGUGAGAGUUCUUACAUAAUUCAAGGAUCACAUGAAAGAAAACCACAGCAUUAUCUUCUAGCUUCUUACCUGAUUUUGUAAAAAGGUUUUGAGCAUACUGUUUUUUUUAUGAGUGGUUAUCAGAAAUCUUAAAUGGUAGAAACCAAACGUUGUCAAACAGGAAGGGUAAUAAAAAUUCCAGUGUAUCUGGGAGGCCAUGAAGCGUCAUGGAGUUUUAUUUUGUUUCUCUGUGGAGUUAACUGGUUUUUAGCAGUUCUACUGAACUUUAGCUAAAAUGAAUUACACGAAAAACUGAUUAGAAUUGGUUCAUGCUAUUAUUAGAAUUACUAAACAUGCAGAAAUUAAAGUAAAUGCUAAGGGGAUGUCUUGCUGCUUUUAGGGUGUUUGAUUCUGAUCUGGUCGCUUACUAUCUUCAAUCUAUUAGAUACUAUAUUACAAGGGACACUCAAGUACAUACAGGCUCCAAACCCCUGUCUAGUCAUAUCUUUGUAAGCCACACUGAUGUUUUUAGCAUAGAAUGUAGGUUGGAGGCCUAUGGUUCUAUUUUGUGGAGUUAGAGUCCCACCCACCCCAGAUCUAUUGAAUGAGAAUCUCUUGGUGACAGGCAUUUUAAAUAUUCUUCUUGAGUGAGUCUGAUAUAUAUUUGGAAACCUCUGCACAGGCCUCCUAAAUAUGAUAACCCCUUCUAAAUAUGUGUCAUCUCGACCCUCAGAGAGUGUUACCAUAUUUGCUAGGAGAAAGGGAAGAGAGAAAAGUGUCAGCCUUGAACAGAGGAGAACAUUGAACAUCUAUUCAAAGAGUAGAAAACUUUGAACCUCUUCAUUCUACUAUCCAUACCUCCAAGUCUAGCUGCCUUGGUCUAAUUAUGUUUCUUGAGGUGCAGUUUUCCUUUGCGCUCUAAUAGAAGUGCUUCUCCUUGGAUGUGGAAUUGAGGUGAGGUAGAUGAGGUGAGGUAGAUGGGAGUGAUGCUCUUCCUAGAGCCAAGAUUCUUACUACUUGGGGGGAAAAAAGACCAGGCUGCCCCUAUUUCUCAUCACACUCCCUUAUCCUGAUUAUUCCAAUUCACUCUAUCUCAUAUCUGUGAUUCAGAUGCUCAUACCUGGGGAGACGCUGUUUUUCUGGAUAUUAGACUAUGUGACCAAGAGUGAACAUUUUGUAUUUCUGUAAAAUUCCAUGUUUGGGAUGGUGUUAGAGGCAGAGAUACUUCCGGGGCCUAAUGUCACAUAGAAAGGCUUGAUACUUACCCUUCAGCAGGAAUGAGAGGUACAUUUAAAUUACUAGACUGAUUAGACUCCUGAAUUUAGACUCCUAAUUUAAAUUCUUAAAGAGUUAGCUAAGGGAUGUGAGGGGUAAAUGAUACAUCUGUUUUACCCCAAACAGAUCCUGCACUGUCUGGGGAGAAACCCCUAGUCUUCCCUGCAUCCCUGGCUUUAAUGUUUGAGGGCCUGUUCUUUAUAAUGAGGUUCAUAAGGGAAAGGACAGUGUGGCCCUCCUGAGACCAGAGGGAAUAGGAUAGGGCAGAGGUUCUCAGGUAUUGAUGAGCAACAGAAACACCUGAGGCUCUUGGUAAAAUGCAGAUUCCCAGACCCCCACCUGGAUCCACUGAGGGGAGUACAUUAGUUUCCUAGGGCUGCUGUAACAAAUUACCACACUCUUGGUGGCUUAAAAUGGAAAUUCAUUUUCUCAUGGUUUUGGAGGUCAGAAAUCUGAAAUCAGGGUGUCAGUAGGGGUGGUUAUUUCUGGAGGCUCUGAGGGAGAAUUCGUUCCACCCCUAUCUUGUAGCUUUUGGUGACUGGGAAAUUCUUGGCUUAUAGAAGCAUCAUGCCCAAACAAUACAAAACAAAAAUAAGAAAAUAGAACUUAAAUUAAGUUAGGUGCACUCCUUAGUGGCCCCCUCCCAGUGCUUUGCCUAAAUCUCUAAUUUAGCAUUGAUUGCUGUGGCUAACACCCAACCCAUAAGACACAACCAGCACUGCAACGCUCACCUAUCUGAUAAGGACACUUGUGCUUUCCCCUCUACACCCUCUGGAAAGGGAUUUGGAGGCUCUUUAAUCAACCCAAUGACAUGCUUUCAGUGGGAAAGAAGCUGGGGCAGGUACUUAGCCCCGGGGACUCCUGGUUAAUGUUUAGUUUGUUCAGCUGUGCUGUCACCUUAUUGCUGUAGACACUAAAUUCCAAUCUGGAUUACAAACGUUUUGUGAACAACUUAGACUAAUAUUUAUAGUGCUGGAAGAGGUAAAAUUUAAAAAGCCAGUUGAUCUGAAAUAAUUUGUGAGUUUUUUUCCUCUGGCCUAAUCCAAGAGCUUUCUGCUUGGUUUAUCAGGUCCUCUGGUGACCUUAGUUUAUGUUUAGGUAGCAAAAUUCCUGUUCCAUGCAAGUAGCAGAAGCUCUCGAAUGAAAUAUAGCCAAAUCAGCACAGCACCAAUCACCUAUCCUAUUAAUUUCUUUAUACUAAGUCUGGAAGGCAUUUGGGUCUUGAAUCUCUUUGCCUGCCUGUGUCCUCCCUCCUUCUCAUUUGUAAUCUGUCUCUGUUUUUCCCAUUCAACUGUAGACAUCAAUGCAAACCAUAAGUUUUAUACCAAACAUAUAAUUGGCAUCCCUUGCUGGGAGACACUGUGCUCUAAUGGUUAAGGGUUAUGGCACAAGAUCCAGGAUUGUAUUCUCUACAAUUUACUAGCUUGUGAUCAUGGGCAAGUUACUGAACUGCUCUAAGCUUCAUUUUCCCCAUCUGACAAAUGGGGGUAAUGAUGGCAAUGAUCAUGAUAUCCACUUUAUUGGAUGAUUGAGAGAAUUAGAUUAGGUAAGCUUUAUAAAGGGCUUGAUAUAUAAUAAAUGAUUAGCUAUUUUUGUGAUUACAAUUAUAGUUAUUUUAUUAUUAUUUGUUUAAAAUGCCAGCAAGAUAAGCUCGAGUAAAAGAUUUUUUUAUACUAGGGAAGAAGCCAUUAACUACAGGAUGACAGGCUGAGUACAAUUAUUUGCAUAAUUACCAACAUUGUUAGGCCCUUAAUAGGCAUUACCACAAUCCAAAGUUCUCACAUCUGUGAUCUCAUUUAAUCAUCAUGGCAUGUUAAGAGCCUUUACUAUUACCUCAUUUUUCUGAUGACAAAACUGAAGCACAGAGAAAUUAAGUAUCUUGUUCAAAAUUUGUCAGAGUUAACAGGGGUCUAAGAUCUACCUCACAUUACAUUAUAGUCACUUCACUGGCUUCCAAAGAUUAAUGGAGGGAAGGUUUUCACAUUGCUCAUUUUUAUCAUAUAAUUAUUCAACAUGACAUUUAGGUUUGUUUAAUACAAAGUGUUUACUAUAACAUUAUUCAAAAAACUAUCUAUUUAUACACAUAUCACAAACACAUGUUCCUUUGGGGUAGGAGUAAAAAGUCCCAGUAUCUUAACUUCUAGAGGGGUGGCUGUAGGCAUGGAGCGCUAUUUUUCUCUCUGGUGUUUGCAUAGGUUACAGAGCCAGCAGGAAGCCCAGUGCCUGAUGCAAGUAGAGAAACAGCAUGGACCCUGCAGAGAGACUGUCAUCAAGCUGUGCUGGGCAGGUUCUUACACUUUGUGGUGGGGAACUUUCUUGCUGGGAGAGGUUCUUCUGGGCUAUAACUGCUCACAGCCAUUCUGUAAUUGGCUUCUGCAAAGUAGCAAGCAUGUUGGCUUUGCUACCCGCAUCCAUCUGGCUGAGUUUUAUGCACAUGCAAAUAAUGGAACCCUUAUUUGUGGCUAUCUCUGGGACUUAUGAGUCACAAUGGAGUCAUUGCAUCCAUACGGUCUACAAUGUCAUACAGCCAAAGCUGGGGGUGGGGGAUUAGAACAUUUAUAUUCAGGCAGUCUGACUUUAUCAUCUCUGUGCCUCACCAAUGCAUCAGGCCACCUUCCUGCAAUAGGAAAAUCUUUAAAAAAAGUCCUGACAUUGGUGUAUCAAUCUUUGCCAGAUUUUUGGCACAUCACAAUCUGAGCUUAAAUUGUGAUGCAAAACAUUUUGGACAAGGCUCAGCAUUGCUAGUUGUUUGUUUGCUUAUUUCUUGUUGAUGACCCAGUGUAGUUAAUUUCAUCUCCACACUCAGCUGUUCACUGAUAGCUUUUCUUCUUAAAGGAAAUAAUUUUAGUACUUAUUGAUGUUGACUUGAGUAACACAAUAUUAUUAAUAAUAUUUAGAAUGGUUCUUUAACCAAAGUGUAAGUAUAAUUUCAAAGCAAGCUUAUGAAAUUUUACUUAUAAAUUUUUCAUUUUAUAACACUUGCUCUGAAAUGGCUGCUUAUCAAAAUAAUGACUGAUUCAAAUCUCAAUGGCAUGUAUCACAUUUCCAUAGUAAAUAUGCAGCCACAAGUCCUUUCUGGUAUUUCAAAUUUUCCCACUUUGUUAACAUCAACUUACUUGACAUAAAUUCUGUCUUCUUUAAAUUAUUUUUGACUAUUACAAUUUGAAGGCUGAUGAAAUUAUUUUCAUUAAAGAGUAACUUUAAAAAUUAUAAUCAUUAUAGUUUAGAAGGCUUGGAAUAUGUAGAUAAAGAAAAAGAAAAUAAAAAUAAUUAAUAAUCUCAUCAUCCAGAGAUAGCCAUUGUUAAAAUUUGGUUUUUAUAAUGAAAAGAUUUUUUAAAAAUUUACUGCUUAUUGCAGGAAAAUAUACUAACAGAAAAUUAAAUUGUCUGUUUACACUAACCUUGGUAGCUUUUUUUUUAAAAAAGAAGCUCAAGUCCUCCAAACUAUUUAAAAGCAAGCAAAUAAACACUUUAUUUGAAAUUUUAAAAGGCAAAAAAGCACAAAUGAAAUAUUGUUUCAUACACAGAUGUUUUAGAUUUAGAUGGUUUAUGAUUUAAUAGUUAGAUUGUUGUGUUAUGUAGCACAAUUUUGUGUUGGGAUUCAAUUUGCAUAUGGUACACUAAGGUUUCUUAUGCAUUGAUAGCAUAUCAUAUAUUUGUGCUUGUUUUCUGGGGUUUGGAAUGUAAUUUUAUGAAUUUAAAUUUAUAAUAGUCAAAACAAACAAAAUGUUCUUUAAUAGUAGGAUAGAUAAAUAAUAGUUUAUGUAAUGAAAUACUCUGCAGUGAUGAAAAUGAACCACAGCCAUGUUCAACAACAUGGAUAAAUCUCACAGCCGUAAUAUUGAAUGAAAGAAACCAGAUAAAAAAUAACACAUAUACUCAGGCCAGGUGCAAUGGCUUAUGCCUGUAAUCCCAGCACUUUAGGAGGCUGAGGUGGGCGGAUCAUUUGAGGUCAAGAGUUAGAGACCAGCCUGUCCAGCAUGGUGAAACCCCAUCUCCACUAAAAAUACAAAAAAUAGCUGGUGUGGUGGUGUGUGCCUGUAGUCCCAGCAAGUCAGGAGGCUGAGGCAGGAGGAUCAGUUGAACCCAGGAGAUGAAGUUUGUAGUGAGCCAAGAUCUCACCAUUGUACUCCAGCCUGGGAGACAGAGGGAGACUUCAUCUCAGAAAAAAAAAAAAAAAAGGGUACUGUAUAAGUGUAUUUAUAUGAAGUUUAAAUAUAGAUAUAACUAAACUAUAGAUGGGAUAAUAAGGACAGUUAGAAAAUUAUAAUACCAUUAGGAAUUCAGGAUACUUGUUGCUUUUGAAAGGAGAAAAAGCAUAGUGAUUGGGAAAGGCAUGAGGGAACAUCUAGUGUACUCAAAAUAAUCCAUUUGUUGACCUGGUUGAUGGCUAGUAAGGUGUACUCACUUUUAAAAAGACUGCAUUGAGCUUCCUUUAUAUUUUGUGUACUUUGCUGUGUAUAUGAUAUACUUCAAUAUAAAAAGCUAAAUAAUUACUACAUAAGUCACAUUUACUUGAUAUCUACUGUUUGCUCCCGACAUAAUCUUCCUAUUAUUUCCUCAGGGAAAUAGGAUCUGCUUUACUAUCAUGGUUUCCAAGAAUGCAUUAGGCUUUUUUAAAAAAAGGGAGAACUGCUACCAUUUCUUUUAUCUCCAUUGUGAUAAAAUUUUCAAGUCAUUUAAAUAUUUUCUAGAUGAUUGAUAUAUUUUAUUAGUUCUUGUGCACAGCAGAUGUGUGAGACAGGCUGGUAUUGCGGUCUCCAUUGUUCAGAUAAGGAAAGUAGACACAGGGAGAGUAAAUGUUUGGCUGAGCCUGGAAUUGAAAUGCAGUUCUUUUGACAUUCUUCUGUGCUGUCUGACUACAGAACACUGCUACAGUCAUAGAUAACUCAGAAUUUCCCAAAAUCUUGGACUCCUAGAGAAAAAAGAUUUCCAUGAACACAAAUAGGCACUAACUAUAAAAACAUUUUUGUAGAUGAAAUUUACAUUUAUAUCUAAGAAGUAUGGUUAAGCACAUUGAGGGGAGUUACUCACUGAUUCAACAAACAUUUCUGAGCAUUGGGUAUUGUGCCAGCCUCUGCAGGAGAUGGAGCUAGGAAUAUUACUAUAAUACAAUGUGAUAAGUGAAAGAAUAGAGAAUCCUACAUAUUGGCCUAGAGGAGGGGCUGGUAAACAGCUUCUUAGGAAAGAAGCAUUUGGAAGGUCUUUUGAAAGAGGGGAUGCCUGAAUUGGAUCUGAAAUGUACAGGGAUGCAUUUUGUUUUAUAUAAAACUAGAUAGGUAGGUAGAUUUCUUACAUUUUUUCCCCAUGACAUUUUGACCUCCUAAUUUUAAGAAACUUUAGAUUCUUAGAGAUCGUUGUUUUUUUUUUAAAAAAUGUAAAGAACAGAUUGAAUUUCCAGAGAUGGCAGCUGGAUGGUAAACUCCUUGAAGACAGGACAUCUUAUGCUACCUUGUUUUUUUUACAAGGUCCAGCAGCAUAGUAGCCUCUUCACUAAGAUCGUUGUGGAAUUGCUUUUGCAUGGGGCUAUUUUUGGUAGAAGUGAGUUCUUCACUUUAAACUACGCUUGCCUUCUUUGUCAGUGAAUCUAAAGUGUUGAGCUGUUAGAUUUGAGGGUGUUCAGAUAUUUUAUUUCAGCUGAAUUCUAACAUCAAGUCAUGCAUAUAAAAAUCCAGUUACAAAAAAAUUCAAUUGAGUUGCAUACAGCCUGUUGAUGGUAUUAAUUUUUAAAAGUAGUUAUGCUAUAGAUUUGUUUUAUAGGCAUUUAGAUGAGUGCAAAGCUCUAAGGAAGCAAAAUCUCAUGUACAAUACCACAUAGGCCACUUUUCAAGGUUGACAUUUUUGUUUUUCAGAUGUGAUCUCUGCAUCAUCUUAUUCUUUGUGCAAGUUUCAGUAGAUGACUCCUUAUUUGUAAACAGAAGUCAGGCCUAACCAAAUUUCAGCAAUGAAAUUCAGCUACAGAAAGAGAAAAUAAUAGCGUCAAAACCUUUAUCCAGAACGCUAUUUUGCAUUUCCUGAUAGACAUAUCCUGGCAUCUCUAAUGACAUCCACUAAGGUAGUUCUCUAAAAUAUUUUAUAGUUGCUGAUAAGUCAUUAGGUAAUAUGGAGAAAAUGCCUUAGAUCCUUUCUCUUCUUUAUAGGAGGAAUGCCUGGGAAAAUAAAUGAAAGUUCAAGUGAGAGACAGCAGAACAUUAGUGAUAAAGGAAGAAGCAUGAGGGGCUGGUGUUUGUAUAUUGGCUUUUAAAGUUAAUGAUACCAUUUAAAAAUUUUAUAAAAUAUAAACUAUUGGCCCAUCUUAUAGGGUGGUUGUGGGAAAUAUCUACUGGAAGUGAUACUCUCACACUCUGCCACUUUUCCACAUCAUCUUAAUAUUUGUAACAACUUAACAAUGGGACAUUUAUGAUCCAGAAAUAAAAAAAAGUCAUAUAUUUUACCAAGUAAAUGGUAACCUAUUCCUAGCUAAUCUGUAGCCUAAUGAUCUGUCCAGGCCUAACUGGUUUAAACAAUGGUAAUUCUUUUUUUUUUUCUUUGAGAUGGAGUUUCACUCUUGUUGCCCAGGCUAGAGAGCAGUGGCGCGAUCUGGGCUUACUGCAAUCUCUGCCUCUGCCUCUCAGGUGUUAAUUCUAAAACAUAAACUACUACUUAGAUAUACGUCAAAAAGAAAGGAAAGAAAUGCCAAGUCCACUGCCUUAAUUUCUUAGAGCAAAUCCUAAACUAAAUGUUUUGGGAGGAUAGAGUAAAUGAAAUAAAAACAAAAUUACAGUAGUUUUGUAACAGAGUUACAAAACUUACACACACAAAGGCCCUUAAAUGAGGGCCUUUGGAUGGACUUCAUCAGGGGGUCCUUGAACCUCUUAAAAUUGUGUGCAAAAUGUAGUAAAUCACAGCCUUUUUUCAGGAGUAAGUAGUUCCUACACUUUUAUCAGAUUCGCAAAAGAGUUAAGAACCACUGAUUAAACCAAUUACUAGUGUGUGUUAGUUAUAGAUAGAUAGUGAGUAAAUAGUUGGGAAAUAUAACAAAUCUAUAAAAUAUGCCUAUGUAUAUGGUAACAAAGAUGAAAGGAGCCUGUAUUUCUGGGAAUGCAAUAAAAUGAUAUCUAUGUUAUUAAAAUGUUUGCAUAGAGAAUUUUAUUCUUUUGUUGAGAUGCAAAACUUUUAAUUCCCUCUGUGCUAGGUCGCCUUGCCCAGCAAACAGACAAUGAGAAAUAACAUUCUCCACGAUUAGAGCUGGCUGUUUAAACACUCUGUUUAUUUUUCUUCAGUUACCACACUUUGCUUGUACCAUAUCACAGAUUGAAUAAUGAAUAAAGCAAGGGGGACCUGGUAGCAGCAAGCAUUUGACUUGUCACUGAAAAUGAGCUUACUGGAUUUUGAAUUGGUUACUUUAUAUCCCCAAGAACAAUUUGCUUUCCCAAGAACAAAAUGCUUUGUACAUUUUACUUUUUGUGUGAUUAAAGUCAGCCUAUCUUUUGGAAUAUAAAUAUAUUUUAAAUGGAUUUCCAUUUUCUAGGAUACACAAGCAAGAUAUUCCUCAAGUCUAUGAGGGAUGGAAGUGAUCCAGAAAUGAUAUGUAAUCAUGGAUCUGUGACAAACUAAACUGUGUGUGUGUGUGUGUGUGUGUGCGUGUGUGUGUGUGCAUGCAUGUGUGUGUGCAUGCAUGUGUGUGUGUGUACAUGCGUGUGUGUGUGCAUGCAUGUGUGUGUGUGUACAAAGUUCAUUGAAUAAAGUAUGAUAGGAAAGUAGUGACUAACUUAGGAUCAAACUGAAGUUUCCACACCAUUAUUCCACCCUUGUUUGAUUAGACUCUCACAAUAAUCUCAAAGAUUGUGCAUUAUUAGGUUGGGGGAGGAAAUGUCAAGAAAAUAUUUUACUCUGUUCUUUCUCCAUAGUUUCCCUGAUAUCUCAAACUGGCAGCCAGCUGGCUGAAGCCUGCACACAGACACGUUUUAUUUGGCCCAUGCAGUGCUUUUACAAUGUUUGUGCCAACAUUUUAAUAGGAAGAUUUCACAUAUGAAUCUGCAUUUCUGCAUUAUCUUGAGAAAUCAGAAGACAUGGGAAUAACUGGCUGGAGCUGAGGGUCAGUUGUCUCCCUACCCCUGACCACAGCUUCCUUCUGCAGCUCCAUCCAUGACUUCAGGCACUCAUGACCAGCCUAAGUAGUUAUUUACCUGCUUGACUGCUGGAGGCGGCUGAGUUUGAGACUGGCUUAAGGCUGCCUUUGAGAUUGCCUUAGUCUUCUGAUUAAUAACCAGGUUUGUAUAAAGCUAUCUUCUUGAUCCUGGAGAGCCUUAUUACUUAAUAUUACAUAGAUAUCUGACCAUCAAAUCUAAUCAUUUUCAGGUUCAAAAGAUUUAGAAUUUCUAAUUUGGGCUCGGGUUGGCAACGAGUGCAAAUAAAAAUAGAACAUAAAUGCCUAAAAUGCUUAUCUUUCCUUACAAGCAUUCAAUUUCUGUUGUUGUCCAUCAAAGCUGGUCAGAAGCUGUAAUUACAGUGGUGCUGUAACUAACUUGUGCUUACUGGUUCUGGAAUUUGAUGAUAAAAAAAUGGAUUUUUUUUGGCUUUAAGACAAAGAGUUGAUUGAUUAAAAAGGGAUUAUGGUAUAUGUAGACUUCUAGGAUGUUAUGAUUUCUUUAUGCUUUGGACAAAACCCUGAGGAAAAUUUAAUAGAUUUGGGUUGUCUCUUUAAUUCAGGAGGCUGUAAAUUUUUAAUUUUAAAUGUUCAAUUAUUUUGAUCAGGAUAAAGUGUUGUGCAAAUUCAGGUAGUCUCCCUUUCCAGUUGUUCCUAACAACCCUUUCUGGUUAUGGAUAAAUCUCCUUGCCAAAACUCAUAUUCAACUCGUUGGAGGGCUAGCCUUUAUCUUGCCACCUAAGGUCUUUGGAAGCCAUUUUAAUCCCACUAAAUUCCGCAGUUUAGUUAAGAUAGAGUGGCUGAAACAUAAGGUAUUUAGUAAUAUCAUGAAUCUGAAGGUAAUUAGUAUUUAAUGUCUAAAAGAAAAAAGUAAAAGCUUGCCAGUGUUCUAACUUGGAACAAUUAUAUUUCUUUCCAAACAAUUUUGUUUUUACAUACUGCUAGCCUAGCAAUGCAUUAGAAUGCAUAAAAGCUCAGGAGAUUUGAAUGUGGGAAUGGAUAAAUGUUUUGUAAUGAGGUAGAGAAUUAUUGUUGACACUUAGAAAUAAAAGCUUCACAAAAUUAUGAAUGUCCAGAUCAAUAGCAUUUUUUAAUAUUAUAAAUCACUUUGGCAAUGCUUAUGUAUGUAUGAACAGAGAAGUGAUCUAAUGAUUAUGAAAUUAGAUUUUUUUCUCUCUCUUUUUUUCUUUCUAUUUUCUUCCUCAUAGAGGCAGCCAAAGGACUUUGAGUAAACCACCAUAACUUGCUAAAUUUCCCCAACAGUGAAAUUUUUAGAAGUAUGUUUGAAUGUUCUGAGUACAGAUUAUAUUAUUUCUGUGAUUUUUUUUAGGCUGACCAGAGGUGACAUCUAUUUUUAUGUGAAAAGUAAAAAUGAAAUGUUCUGAAAGAGUUAAUUUUGAUAACUGCUUUUUUACUUUUUAAGUAAUUUUAUUGUUUUACUUGUCUUCAGAUGUUCUAAGAUCUAAUGGAAAACACAAGAAAAAAAAUGAAUUUCCUUUGCUAGAUUAUAAUGAAAAAGACAAUCUACUCCAAAAGAACUGGAGGGACAUGGAUGAAUCUGGAGAACAUCAUCCUCAGCAAACUGACACAAGAGCAGAAAAUGAAACACCGCAUAUUCUCAUUCAUAGGCGGGUGAUGAAAAAUGAGAACACAUGGACACAGAAAGGGGAGUACUAAACACAGGGAUCUAUUGGGGGGAAAAGGGGAGGGCCAGUGGGAGGGGGAGGUGGGGAGGGAUAGCCUGGGGAGAAAUGCCAAAUGUGGGUGAAGGGGAGAAGAAAAGCAAAGCACACUGCCAUGUGUGUAUCUACGCAACUGUCUUGCAUGCUCUGUUCAUGUACCCCAAAACCUAAAAUCCAAUAAAAAAUUAAAAAAAAAAAACAAGAAGAUAGAUUUUGAAUAAAUGAAUGAGAGUGGGUUGGGAAAGGUAAGAGAUGAGGCACCUGAACCCCCACCCAACUGAAAAAAUUGUUAACAUUUAAUUUCUCAGGGUAGUGGAGGAGGGGGAGCCAAGGCUUCCAGUUACUGGGAAUCCUAAUGUGGUAUGGAAUAUUAAGGGUGACUUUAUCUAUUACAUGUAAUCACUGUAUCGCUAGGGAGCCCCAGUAUGUUCCAAGAAGUUAAGGUACAUGCCAAAGAUAAGCAAAAAAUGGCACACAACCCUAUGGGAGCAUCUUGAGGAAAUGUAUUAGUAUUAGGAGAUACUAAUAGGAGAUAGCACAACCUGAAGGCCAGUCUGUGGUCAUUUAACUUAAUGGGAAUUAAAAAAUUUAUGGUAAGGACUUGACACUUGAUACUUCUCUUUAUUUUAAAUUUUCUAUUACCUGUUUUCUAAACUUUCUUUAUCCUUCACAGUAGUCUCAUAUCCUUUUUUUUCAUUAUUUCCCUAACAAUACUAAAGCACUCAAGGGAGUUUUGCUGAGCAUUGAAUUAGGCAUAAUAUAUUUUAGCCAAAGUAUGCAUGCUUACUCUGGAUGUAUUACUUCCAAAUGUGUAGACAAUAUAGUCUGUAUACCACAAAUAAAAUAAAAACAAGAAUUAAAAAUUCUAAGUGAAAAACUUUCCUUUAUGCACUAAAAGUAUUGGGUAAGAAUGUUAAAAGCAGCAUUAUAUAUAGUAAAUACAAAACUGCAAAUAUAUACUAUAUGUAUACCUACUAUGUAUAGCAAAUAUAAAACUUCAACUAAUCUAAACAUCCUUUAACAACAGAAUGGAUAAGUGGAAUGCUAUUCAGUAAUUAAAAAGCAUAACCGAUGGCUACCUGCAACAAUAUGGAUAUAUUUUACAGACAUAAUGUUAAGUAAGAGAUUAUAUGUUGCACUAUGCCAUUUAUAUCAGGUUCCAAAAUAAGCAAAAUAAGUCUGUGGAAUCAGAAGUCAGGAGAGUGGUUAACGUGGGAGUAGGUGAUGACUGGACAGGGUUUGAGAGAGGAUUCUAGAUACUGCAGGUGUUCUAUAUCUUGAGUUGGGUGGUGGCUUCACAGGUGUGCUCAUUUUGUAAAAUUUUAUCAAGCUGUUCAUUUAUGAUAUGUACUUCAGUAUGUAAUUAUAUUUAAAUGGAAAAGUAAAAGGAAACAAUUUUUCCUUUUGAUUACUUAGGAACACCUAAAGUUUAAACCUGUUAUCAUCCUGACCAUAUAAAAAAUAAGACUGGCCUUACCAGUCAGAUUUUCUCUGUGUCAUAGGAGAUAGAUCUGAUAGAUUGAGGAAGAAGUUUUGGACAUAAAAGAUUUUUAACUGUACAAAGUAUUUGUUUCUCUGCCUCAUGGGAUAAUAACAUCAAUAAAUUGUGAAAUGAUUGUUAUAAUUAAAUACUAGUUGGAUCCAUCAGUGUUGGGAGCUAUGGAAAACUUAUCAUUAUUUUCUUACAGGGUGCAUAAUUAAUGGGUCAUAUAAGGGAAGGUCCUGACUCAGGGUCGGAGUAUGUAUUAUAUUUGCCAAAGUAGUAUGACAAGAGGACUUCAGAAGGUAGUUCAGCAUAUAUUUAGUUGCAAGAGCAACUCUAAAUAUAAGUAGCAUUUUAAUACAAUGGAAAUAAACCUAGGGCUGAAUUGAUAGGUGAAUAUAGUAAAAAAUGUAUUGCUUUUAGAAAAGGGUAAAGCAACAUGAUACAACAUGAUACAUGAUAUAAAUAGUAGCACUUCUAGAUAAGAGAUCAUUCUUCCUUAUAUCAAGUUGAGUAGGGCUAUUUUUGGUAUCAUAUGCAGAACUGGUCCUAGAUAUGAUUUUGCUACUGGGAACAUUUGGUUCUGGUGCCUUCUUUUCUUCUUUUUGUUUUAUGUAUAGGAUGGUAUCAUAUGAAAACAAAGCAUUAACUUUGGAGUGAGACUGCUAUUAGUUCAAAUCUUGUCUCUAUCUUAAGUUGCUUAACUUUGGUAAGUAACUUCUCUGACACUAUUUUUUUAUGUUUAAAAUGAGGGUUCUCCAGGUGGCGGAGGUUGCGGUGAGCCGAGAUCACGCCAUUGCACUCCAGCCUGGGUAACAAGAGUGAAACUCCGUCUCAAAAAAAAAAAAAAAAAUGAGGGUUCUACCUAACUGGGAUAUUUAAUAGAUAUAUCAAUCAAUCUUUAAAUCUUUGUAUCAGUUAGGACUUAGUUUGUCUGCAUGAAUCGGAAAACUCAAAAUAACUGUAAACACACAAUAAUUUAUUCCACUUAUAAGAAGUCCAGAGAAGGCCGGGCGAGGUGGCUCAUGCAUGUAAUCCCAGCACUUUGGGAGGCCGAGGUGGGUGGAUCAUUGAGGUCGAGAGAUUGAGACCAUCCUGGCCAACAUGGUGAAACCCUGUCUCUACUGAAAAUACAAAAAUUAGCCGGCAUGGUCGCAGGUGCCUGUAGUCUCAGCUACUUGGGAGGCUGAGCAGGAGAAUCGUUUGAACCCAGGAGGUGAAGGUUUCAGUGAGCCGAGAUCGUGCCAUUGCACCCCAGCCUGGGUGACAGAGUGAGACUCCAUCUCAAAAAAAAAAAGAAGUCCAGAGAUAGACAGUCUAGCACUGGUACAUCUGCUCCCUGAAACGACCAGCAACUUAGGCUCCAUUUAAACUCCUUAAUCUGACAUUCUUAGCACAUGAGUUCUAUACUUAAAGCGGAUGUUGGAGCUCCAAGCCAUCUUCCUCAUUUCAGACAACAGGAAGGAAGAUGGUGCAUCGGGCAAAAAGUUUAGCUUCCAGCUGAGUUCUCUCUCUUUUAGUUGUCCUAGAAGUCUUGUACAAUACUUCUAUUUUGUUUCUUAUUGGCUAGAACUUAGCAACAAAAGCUCAGUUAGUAACAAAACCUCAGUUAGCAACAGAAGGAGGCUGGGAGAUGUAGUCUUUUAGCUGGAAGAAAAAUGGGGAUUGGUUACUAAGGAAGAAGUGGAAAGUGAUUUUGGGUGUCAAGUAGGAAUCUCAGCCAUGAUAUUCUUAACAAAACUCUUCAGGGCCCGCCUCCUCAUCUUAGCAAAUUCUAUCACUAUCCACCAGAUAGCUCACUCUGAAAAUUUGAGAUUCAUUCAGCAAUCCUUUUUUCCCCUCAUUCUCCAUAUCCAAAUUAGCGGCAAUCCCACAGUUCUAAAAUACAUCCUGAAAGGGAAAACUUCUGUUGCCCCUGCUAAACCCACAAUUCAAAUCACCAUCAGCUCUCAUCUGGAUUCUUUCAGUUGCCUCCUGAUUGACUCCCUGCUUCUUGUGUUGCUUUCCACAGAUCAUUGCUUGCAUAGCAAACAGAAUGAUUUCCU
This is a long non-coding RNA of Callithrix jacchus (white-tufted-ear marmoset), 29882 nucleotides long. RefSeq lists it as uncharacterized. NCBI's taxonomy places the organism in Eukaryota, Metazoa, Chordata, Mammalia, Primates, Cebidae. The record is from RefSeq and is a predicted model, not a curated record.